This 495-nucleotide ribosomal RNA is filed under the name uncultured bacterium. Its description in RNAcentral is "partial 16S ribosomal RNA". It matches the Rfam family "Bacterial small subunit ribosomal RNA", at positions 28 to 507 of the family's 1533-position model. The record is from RNAcentral.
GAUGAACGCUGGCGGCGUGCCUAAUACAUGCAAGUAGAACGCUGAAGGAGGAGCUUGCUCUUCUGGAUGAGUUGCGAACGGGUGAGUAACGCGUAGGUAACCUGCCUGGUAGCGGGGGAUAACUAUUGGAAACGAUAGCUAAUACCGCAUGACAACAGUUAUUGCAUGAUAACUGUUUAAAAGGGGCAACUGCUCCACUACCAGAUGGACCUGCGUUGUAUUAGCUAGUUGGUGAGGUAACGGCUCACCAAGGCGACGAUACAUAGCCGACCUGAGAGGGGGAUCGGCCACACUGGGACUGAGACACGGCCCAGACUCCUACGGGAGGCAGCAGUAGGGAAUCUUCGGCAAUGGACGGAAGUCUGACCGAGCAACGCCGCGUGAGUGAAGAAGGGUGUCGGAUCGUAAAGCUCUGUUGUAAGAGAAGAACGAGUGUGAGAGUGGAAAGUUCACACUGUGACGGUAGCUGAACAGAAAGGGACGGCUAACUACGUG